RNAcentral lists this ribosomal RNA (427 nucleotides) under uncultured bacterium. RNAcentral describes it as "bacterial SSU rRNA". It matches the Rfam family "Bacterial small subunit ribosomal RNA", at positions 355 to 775 of the family's 1533-position model. The record is from RNAcentral.
UAGGGAAUUUUCGGCAAUGGACGAAAGUCUGACCGAGCAAUGCCGCGUGAAUGAAGAAGGUCUUCGGAUUGUAAAAUUCUUUUAUUGGCAAAGAAAGAUAUGGCUAGGAAAUGAGUUAUAUUUGACGGUACCCAUUGAAUAAGCCCCGGCUAACUACGUGCCAGCAGCCGCGGUAAUACGUAGGGGGCGAGCGUUAUCCGGAAUUAUUGGGCGUAAAGCGUGCGUAGGCGGAAUGUUAAGUCAUUUGUAAAAGAUCUCAGCCCAACUGAGUAAGGCGAAUGAAACUGGCAAUCUUGAAUACGGUAGAGGUAAGUGGAAUUCCAUGUGUAGCGGUGGAAUGCGUAGAUAUAUGGAGGAACACCAAUGGCGAAGGCAGCUUACUGGGCCGGAAUUGACGCUGAGGCACGAAAGCGUGGGGAGCAAACAG